This 256-nucleotide unclassified non-coding RNA is filed under the name Basidiomycota sp. Its description in RNAcentral is "partial contains small subunit ribosomal RNA, internal transcribed spacer 1, and 5.8S ribosomal RNA". The stretch from base 1 to 47 matches the Rfam family "Eukaryotic small subunit ribosomal RNA", at positions 1785 to 1831 of the family's 1831-position model. Lineage: Eukaryota; Fungi; Basidiomycota. The record is from RNAcentral.
AAAGUCGUAACAAGGUUUCCGUAGGUGAACCUGCGGAAGGAUCAUUAAUGAUUCUGACGGAAUGUGCUGGCCUCAUCAGAGGAAUUGUGCACUUCCUCAAAAUCUCAUUCACCUGUGCACAUAUGAUGGGCAUUAGAAAGGAAACCAAGACAAUUGGUUUUCAACUUUUGCUCGUUGCAUUUUUUCACACUAAACUAUAAUAUUGUAUUUGAAAAAUCAAAUGUAACAACUUUCAACAAUGGAUCUCUUGGUUCUC